This is a long non-coding RNA of Cygnus olor (mute swan), 1723 nucleotides long. RefSeq lists it as uncharacterized. Lineage: Eukaryota; Metazoa; Chordata; Aves; Anseriformes; Anatidae. The record is from RefSeq and is a predicted model, not a curated record. The transcript is spliced from 6 exons.
UCUGCCUUUAUAUUGUGCAUUAGCAGUGGCGGAAGGAGAAGAACCAAAUGAGAAGCUGGUGUUUGGUAAACAAUUGGUGUGGUUUCCCCUCGUGCUGCGCAGUGUUUUAAAGGAGAACCAUUUGCUGUUGCUAAACAGUGCACAAACAUGCAUUUUUUUUAGAUCUGCUGGUGACUGGAGCUCUGCUGCAUAGUGAGUUGCCUAACGCAUAGUGGGGAAAUCACCUUUCAGACCCAACGCAGAUAGCAUACGCUGAUGAGAUAGCCGCGUGCUUGUGACGGGAUCUGCGCUGGUUAGUUGUGUUACGCCUGCAGCCCUGAGUUGCACAAAGGGGAUUGCUCAGGCAGUUUUAUUUCCUCCUCUAAGAUGCUUGGGGUGACACCCUCUCUUUCGCCAUGUCUUGGGGUAGCUCAAGGCAUGAGGAGAGUCCCAUGCAAUAGGUGGGAGAAGGACCAAGAGGUCUGACUGGCCACUGGGGAGCAGGAGGAUUUAGGAGGUGCAUUGAAUGGCGAGUCUACAAAAAUUGUAUGUGCUCAACACUUUCCAUGAUUUUGACUUGCUAACAGUGACUUGACCAAGGGGGUCCUCCUGCAGCACUGCCCAGGGUGCCCGGCACUGCCUCCCGUGUGUGUCCAGCCGUGCCACAGCGGGCCCCCGGAGCAUCGCGGCUCUCCCAUGGCAACAGCACGUGUGCAGUGCGAUGCAGGCAGGUUGCAGCUGCUUCCCUGUGUGCGCAGGCAGGAAAGGAUUUUUCUGAGGUCCAGGACAUGUGAGGAGACCUUCUUCCAAAGCUGGCCUUCCCUGGCCAGCCAAAUAAAUACAGCCAGCCAGCCACAAAUGGCCACGUUCACAAACGUCUCCUCCCUUGUUGGCAGAGCAUCUGCAAACAGAUCCGCAAUUAUCUUGGACUUGGUCGAUGGAAAGUCGCUCAGUGGAAGUUUAUUCACAAGCUGCACUUUCUCCUGUGUUUGGAAGUCAAAUGACCAACUUGCAGCUUUGCUGCGGUUAAUGAUGCGGCUUUGGUCCCCAGCCUGAAGGAAUGCCACUUGUCUCUUUUAGCUGGAGAUGGGGAGGAGAGAAGCUAAAUCUAACACUGGAGAGUCAUAUUCCCAUGUGAUGAGUUUCAGCUGCUACUGAAACCCGGUGGCAUGAAUGUGAACGCAAAGAGGAAGGCUUCUGCAUCCACGUGCAGGUCUCUGGGCUGUGCAAGUCUCCACUGUGGGACCUUGACCCCGGAUGGCAGCUUUGCUGAGCCCACCAGCUCCUGGGUAUCUGUGGUGCAGGCAUGAGGAUGCUCCCAAGCCAAGCUCAACAAGAGAGCGUGCAGAACAGCAGAGGGGCUGAGCUGGAUCAACCACAGCUUCGCUCCUUUUCAAACCCCCAUGAAACUUCACCGAGCAGCAACUACUGCUGAUCCUUCAGCUCCUUCUCAAGAUCAUCUCCUGACACAGAAAUGGCUUGUUGCCACAUGCAGCCAGCAUGAAUGCCAGCUUCCACCAGCAGCUGUUUUGGAUAUCGAAGCAUCUGAGGACACCUUUCCAUCUUGGAAAAGCACUGCCAUCACCAGCAUCACACCAGGGCUGCCAUGGAGCUGGGAAAAGCUCUUCCAGGCAGCAAAGCAGGAGUGGAAGCUCACCAAAAGUAUCUUCAGGCAGAAGUGGGGAAGGGCUACGAGGUGAUGAACCCCCAUGGCCCCUUGGGCUUGGCUGGCAGGUGGAGGUAG